RNAcentral lists this ribosomal RNA (305 nucleotides) under uncultured bacterium. Its description in RNAcentral is "bacterial SSU rRNA". It matches the Rfam family "Bacterial small subunit ribosomal RNA", at positions 333 to 636 of the family's 1533-position model. The record is from RNAcentral.
GGAUCCCUAUGGGGCGCAGCAGUGAGGAAUAUUGGUCAAUGGGCGGGAGCCUGAACCAGCCAAGUCGCGUGAGGGAUGACGGCCCUAUGGGUUGUAAACCUCUUUUGCCGGGGAGCAAAGUGCCGCACGUGUGCGGUUUGGAGAGUACCCGGAGAAAAAGCAUCGGCUAACUCCGUGCCAGCAGCCGCGGUAAUACGGAGGAUGCGAGCGUUAUCCGGAUUUAUUGGGUUUAAAGGGUGCGUAGGCGGACUGUCAAGUCAGCGGUAAAAUACGGGGGCUCAACCUCCGCCCGCCGUUGAAACUGA